This 239-nucleotide ribosomal RNA is filed under the name uncultured eukaryote. RNAcentral's name for it is "partial small subunit ribosomal RNA". It matches the Rfam family "Eukaryotic small subunit ribosomal RNA", at positions 744 to 990 of the family's 1831-position model. The record is from RNAcentral.
AGCUCCAAUAUCGUUUAUUAGAGUGUUUCAAGCAGGCGCACGCCUUGAAUACAUUAGCAAGGAAUAAUAAGAUAGGACCUUGGUUCUAUUUUGUUGGUUUCUAGAACUGAGGUAAUGAUUAAUAGGGAUAGUUGGGGGCAUUCGUAUUUAACUGUCAGAGGUGAAAUUCUUGGAUUGUCAAAGACGGACUACUGCGAAAGCGCUUACCAAGGAUGUUUUCAUUGAUCAAGAACGAAAGU